UGCGGAAGGAUCAUUACCUAGAGUUGUAGGCUUUGCCUGCUAUCUCUUACCCAUGUCUUUUGAGUACCUUACGUUUCCUCGGUGGGUUCGCCCACCGAUUGGACAAACUUAAACCCUUUGCAGUUGAAAUCAGCGUCUGAAAAAACUUAAUAGUUACAACUUUCAACAACGGAUCUCUUGGUUCUGGCAUCGAUGAAGAACGCAGCGAAAUGCGAUAAGUAGUGUGAAUUGCAGAAUUCAGUGAAUCAUCGAAUCUUUGAACGCACAUUGCGCCCCUUGGUAUUCCAUGGGGCAUGCCUGUUCGAGCGUCAUUUGUACCUUCAAGCUCUGCUUGGUGUUGGGUGUUUGUCUCCUGUAGACUCGCCUUAAAACAAUUGGCAGCCGGCGUAUUGAUUUCGGAGCGCAGUACAUCUCGCGCUUUGCACUCAUAACGACGACAUCCAAAAGUACAUUUUUACACUCUUGACCUCGGAUCAGGUAGGGAUACCCGCUGAACUUAAGCAUAUCAAUAA
RNAcentral lists this ribosomal RNA (512 nucleotides) under Phoma herbarum. RNAcentral's name for it is "eukaryotic LSU rRNA". The stretch from base 158 to 311 matches the Rfam family "5.8S ribosomal RNA". The record is from RNAcentral. Lineage: Eukaryota; Fungi; Ascomycota; Dothideomycetes; Pleosporales; Didymellaceae.